AGGAGGCUUCGAAGGAUGGGUUCUGUACUAACACGUAGUAAAGAUAAAAACAACAAAAUGCCGAGGAGUAAGAGAAACACAACCAAGAGCUCUGCGCCUGUCGUGACGGAGGAGGUCCCCGCUACUCGCAGGACUCGUGGAGCUGCCGCCCCCCCAACUGUAGAGACACCCUCACCAAAAAAGACUAGGAAAAGUAGCCCCAGCCCUUCACCUGCACCAAGAGGUAGAAGCAGAGGAAGAAGCACAAAAGAAGCAGAGACCAAACAAGAGAAGGGACAAGGUGAUGAUGUAGAGGAGCCAAGUCCAAAGAAGGGGCGAGUAACUCGAGCUGUGGUUCAGCAGGAGGAAGCGCCAUCUCGUGGGAGGGCAAGUAGUCGCAAAGCUGCAGAACCAAAAAAAACUGCACCCUCACCAACCCCGAAAGGUCGCUCCAGCUCUCGUCAGAAAGCUGUUCCCACGCCAACCAAGGCUGAGGAACCAAAGGCAGAAACAUCAAGGUCCCGCAGUAGGUCUAAACCGACAAAACCGGAACCUAAAACACCAGAACCCAAAACAGCUAAGGCCAAGAGCCAGACAAGGAAAACACCAGCUAAAAAGGCAACACCUAGUCCCAGGAAGACCCCAGUGAAACCUGAACCAUCACCAAAGCCUGCUGCCUCCAGGAGCAGAAGUAGGGGCAAGAAAGAUGAUAAGGCAAAUGAUCUGCCAUCAGCACAACUUAUCCUCACUAAGAUUGAUAGUCCUAGCAAAUCUAACAAUACAAGCUUUGCUGAAAAUGAAGAAGAAACAAUAUUGCCUUCCAGAAGUAGGGGUCAGUCAUCAGCUAAAACUUCUCCUCCCAAGGCCAGCCCAAAGGAAUCUAGAAGAUCUAAAUCAUCUGAAAAAUCUACUCCUCCAACUCGGCGAAGUAGAAGGUCUGUGGAAGCUGAAGAGGAAGCUGAAGAGAAAGUCAAGGAAAUGGAGAGUGAGGAAAAAGAAGAGGAGACAAAGGAUAAAGAAAGAGUGCUUCAGACAGAGCAGAUAGAAAAAGCAGAAGCUGUAAAAAAAUCAACUGAGUCUGAGGAGGAAAAUAGAGAUGAGGAUAUGGAUGCAAAAGAUACAGCAGCAGAAAUGGAGGAUGUGGUAGAGGAGAAAGAAAGUGAUGAUGUGAAAGAGAAAGAAAAUGAUGUUGAGGAGGAAGAAAAUGAGGAAGCUGCAGAAAAAAAGGAUGAAGUAAUGAAAGAGGAAGAAGGUAAAGAUGGGAAGGAGGAAGAAAAUGAAGAAGUGAAGAUGGGAGAAACUAAGGUUGCAGAUGUAGUGGAAACUGAUGAAAGACAGGGGCAAGAAGAAAAGAUGGAGGAAGAAAUGGAAGAGGAGGAAUCAAAAGACAAGCCAAAGUCAUGUGAGCCUGAUCAGGAGUCAACAACAUUAGAACCCACACUACCAUUAAAACCUUCACCAGUGAAAGAGUCAUCAGCUCCAGCAGCGGAAGAAUGUAAACCUCCUGAAAUAGAAGCAAUAUCUGAUGACGAUGUGGAAAAGGAAGAACCAAUGGAUGAGGAUGUCGUUGAGGUACAGGAAAAUGAAGCAUCAGAAGACACAGCAGUUGCACCAGCAGUUACAGAACCAGUUGCAGCACAGGUAGAAAUGGUCCAGGAAGUGCCAAAACCCGCAAUAGCUGAUGGAGAGCAGCAAAAUGGAUCCCCUGGUGAUCCUCUUUCUUCUCCAAGUCGCAAACGCAAGUGGGAUGAUUUUGAUGAUGAAGGUGAGGACCUAGCUCCAAAGAAGGCCCGACGGUCUAUUGAUAUGGCUGAUGUUACAAGUGAAGGAGUUGUAACCACUAAUGGUGAAAAUCAAAUGUCAAAACAGAUGGCAGAAGAGGAAUCAACGGAAGCUACUUUAGAUCAGAAAGCCCAGGACCCAGAAGUGGAACCAACUUCUUCAGAUACAGCCAGUCAGAACAUUGAGAAGGAGUAUGUUGUAGUAAAUAUGGAUGAAAUACCAGCAGCUAAUAGCACAGAAGUCUUGCAAUGUUUACCUACAGAUUUGCCAAAAGAGGAGGCUGUGGCUCCAGCUUUAGCAGCAGAACAAAGUCAGUCAAUAGCUCCUCCAUCAGAAGUGGUAUCAGAUGUUAAUCAGGAACAAACAACAGCAGCAGUGACCUCCCCUUCAUCAGAAUUCAACCCAGUGCUGUCCAGGAAAUAUAUCCCCAAUCCAUCUUAUCAUUUAACAGGGGACUCAAACAAACAAUUCUCAGUGGUUAGUUACAACAUUUUAGCCCAGUGUCACCUAGAAAGAAAUGACUAUUCAUUUACAGAGUCUCAGUAUUUAGAAGAAAGUUAUCGUCAUCAAAACCUCAUGAAGGAAAUAAAGUACCUUAAUGCAGAUUUAGUGUGUAUGCAGGAGGUGGGACCUUUGUACUAUGAGUCUUUGCUCAAACCAGCUAUGAGCAGGUUGGGGUACGAGGGUCUAAUGAAGAAGAGGACACAGGAGUAUUUUAAUGAGGGAGAAGCCACGUUCUACAAGACAGACAGAUUUUCUGCAGUGGAGACUUGUACCUACUCCCUUAAGGACUUGGCUGAACAGGAAUUGGAGGAUGGCGGUGUGAGUGAGGAAGUGAAAGUGUCUAUCAGAAAAUACCUGAACCUACCGGACGUUCUGGUGCUGACCAAGCUGCGUUGUAAUGUCACGGGCAAUGUAUUGUGUAUGGGUAACAUUCAUGUCCAGUGGGGCAAGAUGGAGAUCCCUGAUGCUCAGUGUAUACAGAUUGUAUGUGCCAUAAAGGAAUUAGCAAAGCAGGGAGGAAGCGAUUGUCACGCUCAGAUUCUGUGUGGAGAUUUCAACUCAGAAGCGACCAGUCCUGGGUACAAGCUGGCGAUGGGAGGUUAUCUUACUGAUGAAGUCCUCAAACAACUACAGGCUCUAGAGAAUCUAGAGAUGACAGACUCUAGUAAGGCAGCACUUGUAAACCACCUUUGGAGAGCAUUCCAACACACAUCGGACAUGAAAAGUGCUUACCAGUCAGCACAGGGAUGUGAACCAGUGGUGACCUCUUUCAACCGAGUGAUGCUGGCAGCAGUUGACUACAUCUUCUAUUGCGGCAGCAAUCUUCACAACGUUGGGGUACUACAGACGGCCAAUGAGGAACACAUUAAGGCCACAGGCGGUAUCCCUGAUCAACUCUUCCCAUCAGAUCACAUCUCCUUGAAGGCAGUCUUUGCAUUUUCAUAAUCAUCAUAACAGAUGUUCUUUACUCAUCUCUUCACACCCAUGGACCAUUGAAAUUAAUAGAGGAGGGGAUACAGCUUGACUGGUCUGGAUGUGAUUCAUUGGAGCAUGACAGCAUAAUCAACGUCACUAGUAAAGUCUUCUCACAGUUCGUCAUCCAUCUUCAUCAUCAGAAACAUCUUCCAGUGCCGUACAGACCUUCACCCUACUCCUUGCAGCAUCACAAAGUUUUAUAGCAUAUAGACAUUGAGCAAAGUUUAUAUAUCAAUAGAAACCAUUGUCUAAACUUAAACUUAUUCAUGUUCUGCAAGAAAUUUAAGACCAAUACAUUCUUUUUGUAAAAUACUUUUAAUGUUGUUAAAAUUACUUGCAGAAUGAAUUUUUAUUAAACCAUAUAGUGGUGUUUUGAAUUCUCAGUUGGUUUUUUUUGAUAAUUAAUCGUUAUUGUAAGGUAGUUGUAUUAAAAACGAAAUGAUUUUAAAACUUUCAAAUGCAUUUAAAACUCUAAUACAGUUAUUUCAAGAUAUAGUUAAAUCCAACAUUUGUUUCUAGUCAUUGAAUUGUGGUGACAUAUCAAACAACUUCUUGUUCCUAAGAGUUACAGAAAAUAUUGGUCUGCUUCCAGACAAGUAGAUUACUAUUUCUAGUUAAUCCUCAGAUUUACAGAAAAUGUUGGUCUGCUUCCAGACAAGUAGAUUAUUAUUUCUAGUUAAUCUGAAAAUUGUAAGGAUUAUUUUUAACUCGUAAUGUCCUAAAAUUAGGCAUGCUGCCAUGUAUGGCUUUAAAUUUGAAACUACUCAUUUGGAGGUAAACUCAUUUUAUUGGUAAAGUCAGAUACAUUAGAAUUAGACCAUCUGCAAAUAUUUUAUAUUUUUGUUUAUUUUUACUUAAGUAACAAUUAACUUUUGCAGUCAGUUUUCACAGCAGUUUCAGCAAUUUUAAGAGAUAGAAAGAAAUGAAAUGAUGUGGUCACAGAUUAAAAAUACAUAUAAUAUUCUAUUGUCAUAUCAAUAUCAUAUCAUUUUCAUGAUCUGUCAACUGUAACAGGUUAAAAAAUGGAAUAAAAUGAAAAAGAGUUUUACAUACAAUUAUCACCAGUGACUGUUUAACUCCAUUCCUUUCAAGAUUUAGAUAUUAGUAGUACCUGUAGUAACAUAAGACCAGUGAUGGUUUCUUUUGAAAAAUAUUGCAGUCUCAAGAAUCCCCAAGUAAGUAGGGAUGUGAGAAUAUAUAUUUCCACUUCCUGUACAGUAGUGUUGAGAAUUCGAUUACGUAUGUGCAGAUGUCACUUUCCACUUACUAAGGUAUUGAGAAUUCCUGAGUGAGUUGGUGUGUGACAAUGUUUAUUUCCACUUACUGAAGUCUUCAGAAACACAGAAUGAGUCAUUUUCACUUAAUUCAAAGUUUUGAGAGUCCCUGAAUCAGUAGGUGCCUAAGAAUAUCUGUUUCUACUCGAGUCUUCAGAAUCUCCCAGCGAGAAGGUGUGUGUGGAUGCGUAUUUCCAUUUACUGCCAGGUGCCAUCUUUUGGUGUGAUUCUGUAUAAACCACAAUAAAUAAAAUCCAUCGUCUCGUGUGUAUGUCCAUUAUCUUGCACGAUACCAAUCACUUGGUAAGCAAAAUAAUAUAUCUCUCUUCUGUCCACAUCUGGUUUUGAUCGUGUCUUGGUAGAUAGCUAUAUAUACUUGUAUUUUAUAAUCAGAGGUACUAACUAGAGGAAGAGGGACCAAAUCUGACUUAUUUUGCUUAUUGAAUGAGGACAACCUUUCUUUGAGGACUUUUGAAGAAACAAUAUAUCAAUUAUCAUACAGUAAUAUCAAUAGGAUAGCAACAAGUGACCAUUUAUAGAUAAGUGGUCUUUGGUUGUCUUCUUCUCAUUUAUUAUGAUUUCGGUUAUUUUAAGAUGAAUUAUACAUUAGAGUAUGCGAGAGAGAACGAUUGUUUUGGGUAUUGUUCAUUUCUAUGAUUUUCUCUCUUGUCCAUUAAGGCAGUUGAGUUGGAUUUAUGUUAACAAUUUAAUGACAGUCAUAUUUCAAGGCUUUUGUUUUUUUAAUUUGGAAUUCUUGUUUUUUAAAAGAUAAGUACUGUGGAUCUCUACCCGUUGGACACUUAAAGAAGUUGAUAAUCGGUCCAAAGUUUAUGUUGGUGCUAUUGUACAGAAAGACUUGAAGAGACACUUAAAUACUAAAAUUUAAAUGAUACUCCCUGCAGCAUUCAGAAUAUAAACUUUAAUAUUGCAUGUGGUAUGUCUAGACCAGCUUGUGCAUCACAUUGCACUUGUUUGCUAAAUUCAUCCAGCUGCAAUAUUGAAGCAUGUCAAUAUCAAUGGACCCUUGCUUUAAAAAUGUUGUUUCCCUGCACUGUAUUGACAGACGACUGUAACCCUCUACCAAGUACAGUAAAUGUCAAGAAACCAGCAGUAUUAGUUAUGUUAAAUUUUAAUGUGUGCUUAUAUAUGUUACGAAGAAGGCUCAUUUUAUUAAUGUGUAUAUAAAACUGGAAUAUAUGGGCUGGUAUUCUUUUUCUGAUGUUUCUGUCCAAGAAAUAUUUUUGGAUGGAUUCAUCUUUCAGUUAAUUAUAGAAACAUUUUUGAAACCAUUCAAACUUCAGUUUUAUAAUCAGAUUGUUGAUUUGCAUUUAAAUCUAUUGAACUGAACACUUUAAGUAAAGCAUUUUCUGUAGACUAAAUUGUAAUAUUUUUAUAUUGAAACAUAGAUAAAUUUUGUACAGAUGCACUUUUGAUGUGCAAUGUUAAAGAUGUAAAUUUUUGAAAAUUACAUUAACAGUCCCAUGACAGUAUCAGGUUUGGUCCAUGUUGUGAACAGCAGAAAAUGAAAAAAGGAUCUUUACUGCUUUUAUGAAAUUGUUCAUUUAAAUACAGCCUCUCAGUAGUAAUUCAAAGACAACUCCUUUUUACAGUUCUAAUGAAACUAGACAAACUUAGUUAUGAAUGCUUUUCUUAUUGGCAAAAGGGACUUAACAUAAUAUUUAAAGAAAUAGUCAUUAAUUGUUUUUAGGCGAGAUAUUAAACCAAGAACUACUCUUAAACCUGUACAUCGUUAUUUUACAUAUUUUGUCGUGAGCUCCCUGACCAGGACCGCCCUGUUUGGUCGGAGUAAGUCCUACCUGGAUUACCUUGUCUGGUUAGAAUAGGUCGUGAUCUUGAUGACCUGGACUACUCUGUCCAGUUUGAGUAAGUAUUUACCUCCCUUUCUUGGAACUCUCUGUCCAGUUGGAGUAGGUACUGAACUCCCUGACAUAGACUGCCCUGUCCAGUUUGAGUAGGUAUUUACCUCCCUUUCUUGGAACUCUCUGUCCAGUUGGAGUAGGUACUGAACUCCCUGACAUAGACUGCCCUGUCCAGUUUGAGAAGGUCUAAACUCCCUGACAUAGACUGCCUUGUCCAGUUUGAGAAGGUCUGAACUCCCUGACAUAGACUGCCUUGUCCAGUUUGAGUAGGUCUGAACUCCCUGACAUAGACUGCCUUGUCCAGUUUGAGUAGGUCUGAACUCCCUGACAUAGACUGCCUUGUCCAGUUUGAGAAGGUCUGAACUCCCUGACAUAGACUGCCUUGUCCAGUUUGAGAAGGUCUGAACUCCCUGACAUAGACUGCCUUGUCCAGUUUGAGAAGGUCUGAACUCCCUGACAUAGACUGCCUUGUCCAGUUUGAGAAGGUCUGAACUCCCUGACCUGGGACGCUCUGUUCAAUGGCAGGUCUUGAUGUGGGCCACUCUGUCCGGUUUGAGUGGGUACAUAACUUGAUGAAGGACAGAUGAUCCAUUUGUACAAUGUGUUAGUAUAUAAAUACACAACCAGGUAGCUCUUUUGUAUACAGUUAUAUCAUGUUCAAUCAUUAAUUGGUUUAUAUUUGAUUCAUGUUAUGAUUUCAAAGUGUUAAAUUUAACAAUUGAAUUUUGGAAUUUAAAAAAAAAAAUUUAAAAAAAAUCGAUUUUUAAUGUUGAAAUAAUUUUGUUGUAUUCAAUUAAUAUGAAGAUGUAUUGAUUUUGAGUAAAUUAGAUAUUUGAAGUAAAUAAAGAAAUUUGACUGCA
This 7254-nucleotide unclassified non-coding RNA is filed under the name Mizuhopecten yessoensis (Yesso scallop). Its description in RNAcentral is "cell surface glycoprotein 1-like, transcript variant X1". The record is from RNAcentral. Lineage: Eukaryota; Metazoa; Mollusca; Bivalvia; Pectinida; Pectinidae.